This 74-nucleotide transfer RNA is filed under the name Danionella translucida. It matches the Rfam family "tRNA". From Rfam's summary of the family: Transfer RNA (tRNA) molecules are approximately 80 nucleotides in length. Their secondary structure includes four short double-helical elements and three loops (D, anti-codon, and T loops). Lineage: Eukaryota; Metazoa; Chordata; Actinopteri; Cypriniformes; Danionidae. The record is from Rfam by way of RNAcentral. RNAcentral also lists the same sequence under 1 other name.
GGCCUGUUAGCUCAGCUGGUUAGAGCAUGGUGAUAAUAAUGCCAAUGUUGUGGGUUCGAUCCCCACAUGGGCCA